CCCCAGACUCCUACGGGAGGCAGCAGUGGGGAAUAUUGCACAAUGGGGGAAACCCUGAUGCAGCGAUGCCGCGUGGAGGAAGAAGGUUUUCGGAUUGUAAACUCCUUUUAUCAGGGACGAUAAUGACGGUACCUGAAGAAAAAGCUCCGGCUAACUACGUGCCAGCAGCCGCGGUAAUACGUAGGGGGCAAGCGUUAUCCGGAUUUACUGGGUGUAAAGGGUGCGCAGGUGGCAGGGCAAGUCAGAUGUGAAAGCCCGGGGCUCAACCCCGGUAUUGCAUUUGAAACUGUCCGGCUAGAGUGCAGGAGAGGUAAGCGGAAUUCCUAGUGUAGCGGUGAAAUGCGUAGAUAUUAGGAGGAACACCAGUGGCGAAGGCGGCUUACUGGACUGUAACUGACACUGAGGCACGAAAGCGUGGGGAGCAAACAGGAUUAGAUACCCCCGUA
This 446-nucleotide ribosomal RNA is filed under the name uncultured bacterium. RNAcentral's name for it is "bacterial SSU rRNA". It matches the Rfam family "Bacterial small subunit ribosomal RNA", at positions 329 to 792 of the family's 1533-position model. The record is from RNAcentral.